Molecule: transfer RNA, 98 nt
Filed under: Pseudomonadota bacterium
Lineage: Bacteria; Pseudomonadati; Pseudomonadota
Description: Proteobacteria bacterium (groundwater metagenome) tRNA-Sec
Rfam family: Selenocysteine transfer RNA
Source: RNAcentral
GGAAGUGGAAAGGGCUCUGGUGGCCCUCCCGGACUUCAAAUCCGGUGUACCGGGUUAAUAGCUUGGUAGGUGGGUUCGAUUCCCAUGCACUUCCGCCA